Homo sapiens (human) is the source of this 2673-nucleotide long non-coding RNA. Lineage: Eukaryota; Metazoa; Chordata; Mammalia; Primates; Hominidae. The record is from Ensembl.
AGGCCGGCGGCUGCUGCUACCUGGGGCCGUUGCUGCUUGUGCCGUGAGCGACGGCCAGCCAUUGUCCCCGCCGCUCCGUCAGCCGCGCCCGGCCGCGCGCGCACCGGAAGGCGCAUUGGCGUCUUGCGGGCUCCGGGCCGGGUGGGCAGGAUGGCCUCCACAAGCCGCAUGGCGCGCAUGGGGAGCCUCCGUUGAUGCCGCCGCGCCGCCCUCCGAGGCUGCAUCCGCGGAAGCCCGGCUCCCCGAGCGCUCCGGCCCGGCCCGGCGCCCCGGACCUGAGUGCGUCCCCAUGAAGGCGCCCGGGCUGGCCCAGGCGGCCGUGGCAGAGGAGACCCCGGACUGGGCGCCCGAGCUCUGCCCCAGCUCCGAGGCGCGGUCGCCGGAGCCGCCUGCCAACCGCCUUCAAGACUUCGACACGCUGGUCACCGUGGGAAAGCAACUAGAAGCCAUUUGUGUCAAGGUAACGUCUGGAGAAACAAAAGGUCAGGAAUGGCCAACGUCCCUACUGGCCACAGUCCAGCCCCAAUCUGCAAGACAGAGCCAGCCGCCCCGGGGGAAUUCCCGCCUGGUGGGACUCCACGUCACCAGCCCCCAGCUGCUCAGGGUACAGCCCCUCGUGAGAACCGAGCCACAGUCAUGUUUCCUACAUCAGCCUCCUGCUCAGGGGUUUGUACAGAGACCACUGCCAGCCCUCUAGGUGGUCCCUGCAAAGAGAGUCCCAGCCCCCAAGGCUCCAAAUGGACAGGGCACCAUGUUGACCCCUUCGUCGGCCUCCAGUUUGCCGACUGUAACAUGUUUCAUCCAGUUCAGGACGUUUAUUUAUUUCCAACUUGCAUACAAAACAUACUGAGAAACUAAAACCAUCGUUAAAAGUGAAGACACGUUGAGACAGGUAUCUCGACCUGCCAAGUAUAAAGCUAAAGCUGAGUUCAUAAAAAGGGAUGAUUUGGCCGACGGUCAUCUGCCAGAUUCUGAUGAUGAUUCAGAAGUCAGUGUGGAAGAAGAUCAGAGGGAGAGGCAGGCGCUCUUUGACUUAUCAAGCUGCUCCCUGAGGCCCAAAAGCUUCAAGUGUCAGACUUGUAAAAAGUCAUAUAUAGGGAAGUGGGGACUGGCCCAGCAUUUUAAACUUAAUCCAGGCCAUGGCCAGCUGGACCCUGAGAUGGUGCUAUCUGAGAAAGCCAAUGGGAGCACCCUCCGGGGGUGCACAGAGGAAAGGACGCUCAGCCUGACCUUCCCGGGGCUGUCCGUGCCAGCGGCUCCGCGUGAGGGAGGGGCCCGCUCCUGCUUGGUGAGAGAGUCAGCACGCGGUGGCCUGCAGGUAAUGUUUGCAUCUGGGUGUCGUUUUCGGCCAUUCUCACACUGUUAUAAAGAAAUACUUGAGACCAGGUAUUUUAUAAAGAAAAGAGGUUUAGUUGGCUCACAGUUCCACAGGCUGUACGGGAAGCAUGGUGCUGGCAUCUGCUCAGCUUCUGGGGAUGCUUCAGAAUCAGUCACGGUGAAGGCAGAGUGGGAGCAGGCAUGUCACGUGGCCACAGCAGGGACAAGGGGCCGGGGUAGGUGCUGCACACUUUUUUUUUCCUUUUCUUUUUUGGAGACGGAGUCUCGCUCUGUCGCCCAGGCUGGAGUACAGUGGCGCGAUCUCGGCUCACUGCAAGCUCCGCCUCCUGGUUUCACGCCAUUCUCCUGCCUCAGCCUCCCGAGUAGCUGGGACUACAGGCGCCCGCCACCACGCCUGGCAAUUUUUUCUAUUUUUAGUAGAGACGGGGUUUCAUCGUGUUAGCCAGGAUGGUCUCGAUCUCCUGACCUCAUGAUCCACCCACCUCAGCCUUCCAAAGUGCUGGGAUGACAGGCGUGAGCCACCGCGCCCGGCAGGUGCCACACACUUUUAAACAACCAGCUAUCAUGAGAGCAGCACCAAGCGGAUGGUGCUAGAGCAAUGAGAGAUUCAACCAUAUCAGUCCUUAUUCCUGCCUCUGCCUGCCCAUCAUCCUUAAGUUGACCUUUACAAUGUCUGAUGGGGGCUCAGGCGAAGGCUCAGGCAGAACCAGAAUCAUUCUUGUGGAGGAUCUGAGACCCCUCAUGUUGUCUGCACUGCUGCCGAACAGGCUGGAAGAUGCAUGUCUGUGUGUCGGCAUGAUUUAGUGAGCAAAUCUGAUGGGAACGCAGCCGUUUCUUUAGGUUUGGUCAGUAAAACCAAUGGCAGUGCGCUCUUGGCUGACGCUGCCAUUACAGAGGGUGAUGUUGAGAAAGGCAGUCCCUGGGGAUGCUUCUGGUGUGUCAAUAGCCUCUGGCUGCUCAGCGUGUCCUCUCCCUCCUGCCCCUUCUGAAACUCCCGAUAAAGCAGGUGUGAGUCGCUGUAAGUUUGCAUUAUCACAUCAAAAUUUUUUUUCCAACAUAUUUUAUUGUAGUAAAAUAUACAUAGCAUAACAUUUACCAUCUUAGCCAUAUGUAGGUGUGUGGUUCAGGGGCACUAAAUACAUUCACGAUGUUGUACGGCCAUCACCCCCACACAUCUCCAGAACUCUUUUCAUCUUGUACAACUAAAACUCUGAGCUUCAAGUUGGGGUAAGCGGGGCGGGGGUGGGGACUAAAACUGUCCCCAUAAACACCAACUCUCCAUUCCCUUUUUCCCCAACCCUGGCAGCCACUAUUCUACUUUCUGUCUCUAUGAUU